RNAcentral lists this ribosomal RNA (253 nucleotides) under uncultured bacterium. RNAcentral describes it as "partial 16S ribosomal RNA". It matches the Rfam family "Bacterial small subunit ribosomal RNA", at positions 524 to 776 of the family's 1533-position model. The record is from RNAcentral.
GACGGGGGAUGCAAGCGUUAUCCGGAAUCACUGGGCGUAAAGCGUCUGUAGGUGGUGAUGCAAGUCACUGGUGCAAAACUCUGGCUCAACCGGAGGAAAGCCAGUGAAACUGCAUGACUAGAGUGUGGGAGAGGUAGAAGGAAUUCCCUGAGUAGCGGUGAAAUGCGUAGAUACAGGGAAGAACACCGGAGGCGAAAGCGUUCUACUGGAACACAACUGACACUGAGAGACGAAAGCUAGGGGAGCAAACAGG